Molecule: ribosomal RNA, 331 nt
Filed under: uncultured eukaryote
Lineage: Eukaryota
Description: partial 18S ribosomal RNA
Rfam family: Eukaryotic small subunit ribosomal RNA
Source: RNAcentral
CCCUUAGAUGUCCUGGGCCGCACGCGCGUUACACUGAUGUAUUUCAACGAGCUUAUAACCUUGGCCGAGAGGCCUGGGCAAUCUUGUUAACGUGCAUCGUGAUAGGGAUAGAUUAUUGAAAUUAUUAAUCUUGAACGAGGAAUUCCUAGUAAACGCAGAUCAUCAAUCUGCAUUGAUUACGUCCCUGCCCUUUGUACACACCGCCCGUCGCUACUACUGAUUGGACGUUUAAGCAAGAUUUUUAAACACUGACAGUGUGUAGUUCACGCUAUACUACAGUGAGAAGAAGAAGAUCGAGCUUACUUGUCUAGAGGAAGUAAAAGUCGUAACA